This 495-nucleotide ribosomal RNA is filed under the name uncultured bacterium. RNAcentral's name for it is "partial 16S ribosomal RNA". It matches the Rfam family "Bacterial small subunit ribosomal RNA", at positions 28 to 507 of the family's 1533-position model. The record is from RNAcentral.
GACGAACGCUGGCGGCGUGCCUAAUACAUGCAAGUCGAACGCUGAAGGAGGAGCUUGCUUCUCCGGAUGAGUUGCGAACGGGUGAGUAACGCGUAUGUAACCUGCCUGGUAGCGGGGGAUAACUAUUGGAAACGAUAGCUAAUACCGCAUAACAGUAGAUAUUGCAUGAUAUCUGCUUGAAAGGUGCAAUUGCAUCACUACCAGAUGGACCUGCGUUGUAUUAGCUAGUUGGUGGAGUAACGGCUCACCAAGGCGACGAUACAUAGCCGACCUGGGAGGGGGAUCGGCCACAAUGGGACUGAGAACCGGCCCAGACCCCCACGGGAGGGAGCAGGAGGGAAUCUUGGGCAAAGGACGGAAGGCUGACCGGGCAACGCCGGGGGAGGGAAGGAGGGUGUCGGAUCGGAAAGCUCGGGUGUAAGGGAAGAAAGAGUGGGAGAGGGGAAAGUGCACACUGUGACGGUACCUUACCAGAAAGGGACGGCUAACUACGUG